UAGGGAAUCUUCCGCAAUGGACGAAAGUCUGACGGAGCAACGCCGCGUGAACGAUGAAGGCCUUCGGGUCGUAAAGUUCUGUUGUUAGGGAAGAACAAGUACCGGAGUAACUGCCGGUACCUUGACGGUACCUAACCAGAAAGCCACGGCUAACUACGUGCCAGCAGCCGCGGUAAUACGUAGGUGGCAAGCGUUGUCCGGAAUUAUUGGGCGUAAAGCGCGCGCAGGCGGUUCCUUAAGUCUGAUGUGAAAGCCCCCGGCUCAACCGGGGAGGGUCAUUGGAAACUGGGGAACUUGAGUACUGAAGAGGAAAGCGGAAUUCCACGUGUAGCGGUGAAAUGCGUAGAGAUGUGGAGGAACACCAGUGGCGAAGGCGGCUUUCUGGUCAGUAACUGACGCUGAGGCGCGAAAGCGUGGGGAGCAAACA
Molecule: ribosomal RNA, 427 nt
Filed under: uncultured Bacillus sp.
Lineage: Bacteria; Bacillati; Bacillota; Bacilli; Caryophanales; Bacillaceae
Description: bacterial SSU rRNA
Rfam family: Bacterial small subunit ribosomal RNA
Source: RNAcentral